AUACUUACUUUAAUCGAGUCGAUUGGUGAUCAGGAAGGCUCAAGGCCUAGGUCAGCAACCCUUGCUGUACUCCAAUGGAGCUACCAUCUUCCCAAGUGGGAGAGUGGCCAUCAUAUUUAGGUUGGACCAGAUUAAUUUUCAAAUCGGUUCCAAA
Non-coding RNA from Phoenix dactylifera (date palm), 154 nucleotides. The record is from RefSeq and is a predicted model, not a curated record. Lineage: Eukaryota; Viridiplantae; Streptophyta; Magnoliopsida; Arecales; Arecaceae.